This 1582-nucleotide unclassified non-coding RNA is filed under the name Leishmania donovani. Its description in RNAcentral is "gene:LdHU3.35.6030(CDS-product:hypothetical_prote in_conserved)". Lineage: Eukaryota; Euglenozoa; Kinetoplastea; Trypanosomatida; Trypanosomatidae. The record is from RNAcentral.
CCCCGGCAGCCCUCUCCUAAUACCCAUCACACGCGUGCGCGCAGCCACAGGCACCCUUUCAUCGACAGCGCUGUGCACGAGAAACAAAGAAACGCUGCUGUGUGGGAAGAAAGCCAGUAUCCGCCACAUCGAGAUCGUAAAGCAACUCCCCCUCUCCCGCACCUACUUUCGUCCAUUAAUGCGUCGUUGCGCUGCUCGGCUCGCUGCUGCGGCAGCGGCCGCUGGUGGCGGUAGCGACCUCCAAACUGUCAGCUCGUCUCUGGGUAGUGUUGCGAAGAGUUCGGUGACGGGCACGACGACCGAGUACAAGCACGUGCACACGGCAACCAGAUCGCCGUCCGAUUUCAUUCCGCCGGCGACCGAGGCCCCGGAGAGACUGCAGUCGUACGUGGAGCCGAAGCCGUUUAUUAGCCUCCGUCGCAUGCAGGUGUUCACCGUCUCACUCGGUGUCGGCGCAGCUAGCGUAGCGCUGGUAUACUUCUUCCUCAGCACGAGUAUCCGCAACCGCGUGGAGGAAGAGCAGUUUCAGGUCGACCGCAUUGUGGAACGCAACCGAAUGGCGAUGCAAGACCGCAUCUCCAUCGUGCCGAUCUUUGUUGCGCCAAGCACCUACGACGAGCUGUACGCCAAGAUGGUGAAAAAGGACAAGGAAGUGGAGACGCAGCUCACUCAAGCCAAGAGCACCCUCCACACGGAGACCAUGUUCCACGUAAAGAUGUGGUGGAACCGGUGUCUGCACAACAUCCAGUCCGCUACAGACGCCUUCGCCGCUGCACAGCUGCGACACAAGGAGGCCCAAGCAGAGGCGAACAUCAAGGCUACUCUGCAGUACAGCGGGUAUGAGCUGGUGGGCCUCUCCAAGGUUGGCGCGUAGGCCGGCAAAGUUUCGUCUUUCCUGAUCGCGGAAAUGUAGGGGGAGCCUCUGUUGUUGGGGGAUUUCCUCUCUUUGCCUAUUAUUAGUGUUUCUAGCGAGGCGCGCGCGAGGAAAAGGGGGGGAGCCUCUUCGCGGCGCGCCAGCGUACGGUGAAUCCCUCUGUGGAGAGUCGUUGCGCCUUUCUGUUUUGUCUGUUUGCCGCGAGCAGGCCUGACAUUUUUGUAGGGAAAGGAGGGCGCAUCUGCAUUGCUCGUGACGAUCUGCUGUUGCCUGUUUGUUUCUUCCUCUCCCUUCUCCCCCCUCCUCCUCUCACUCGCCAUCAUUGCUCGCUAGUCCUCCGUGUGGUUGCAGUGAAAGCUGCAGAGACGUCUGUGUACGUGUUGUGCCACGCGUGCGCCAUCGCCACGAUAAGUGGCUGUAUUUUUUUUUCCGUGCAAGGGCUACUGGUGCGAACGGAGGCCUUCUUCCUGUCUUGUAUCACUGCUCUCUUUCAGUUUUUUUUGUGCCUUCUAUACUCCUCUUAGUCAUCCUUCCUCGUAGCGUUGCCGAAGAGAGGAAAGGAACGAAGGAGAGAGGCGGGAGAGGGUAGCGUGCGCAGCAGGUAGUGGUGUGGAGGGAGAGAAGAUCUCCUCACGGCAGCGGACAAAAAGCAGGAAAGGCAAAGCGAAAAGGGUAAUAGUACCGAGCUGCGGCAACGCAGCGACAUAC